AGCGAACGCUGGCGGCAGGCCUAACACAUGCAAGUCGAACGAACCUUUCGGGGUUAGUGGCGGACGGGUGAGUAACACGUGGGAACGUGCCUUUAGGUUCGGAAUAACUCAGGGAAACUUGUGCUAAUACCGAAUGUGCCCUUCGGGGGAAAGAUUAAUCGCCUUUAGAGCGGCCCGCGUCUGAUUAGCUAGUUGGUUGAGGUAAUGGCUCACCAAGGCGACGAUCAGUAGCUGGUCUGAGGGGAUGAUCAGCAACAUUGGGACUGAGACACGGCCCAAACUCCUACGGGAGGCAGCAGUGGGGAUCCUUCCGCAUGGGCGGAAAGCCUACCCCGGCCAUCCCGGGUAAAUGAUAAAGUUCUAGGAUUGUAAAAUUCUUUCACCGGGGACGAUAAUGACGGUACCCGGAGAAGAAGCCCCGGCUAACUUCGUG
This 433-nucleotide ribosomal RNA is filed under the name uncultured bacterium. Its description in RNAcentral is "partial 16S ribosomal RNA". It matches the Rfam family "Bacterial small subunit ribosomal RNA", at positions 29 to 507 of the family's 1533-position model. The record is from RNAcentral.